GGCUCAGAUUGAACGCUGGCGGCAGGCUUAACACAUGCAAGUCGAGCGGAAACGAUGGGUGCUUGCACCCAGGCGUCGAGCGGCGGACGGGUGAGUAAUGCUUAGGAAUCUGCCUAGUAGUGGGGGAUAGCCCGGGGAAACUCGGAUUAAUACCGCAUACGCCCUACGGGGGAAAGCAGGGGAUYCGCUCUUCGGAGAGGACCUUGCGCUAUUAGAUGAGCCUAAGUCGGAUUAGCUUGUUGGUGGGGUAAUGGCCUACCAAGGCGACGAUCCGUAGCUGGUCUGAGAGGAUGAUCAGCCACAUCGGGACUGAGACACGGCCCGAACUCCUACGGGAGGCAGCAGUGGGGAAUAUUGGACAAUGGGCGCAAGCCUGAUCCAGCCAUGCCGCGUGUGUGAAGAAGGCUUUCGGGUUGUAAAGCACUUUCAGCGAGGAGGAAGGCCUUAAGCUUAAUACGCUUGAGGAUGA
RNAcentral lists this ribosomal RNA (469 nucleotides) under Marinobacter sp. R-43103. RNAcentral's name for it is "bacterial SSU rRNA". It matches the Rfam family "Bacterial small subunit ribosomal RNA", at positions 21 to 472 of the family's 1533-position model. The record is from RNAcentral. Lineage: Bacteria; Pseudomonadati; Pseudomonadota; Gammaproteobacteria; Pseudomonadales; Marinobacteraceae.